This 557-nucleotide ribosomal RNA is filed under the name uncultured bacterium. Its description in RNAcentral is "bacterial SSU rRNA". It matches the Rfam family "Bacterial small subunit ribosomal RNA", at positions 338 to 915 of the family's 1533-position model. The record is from RNAcentral.
CCUACGGGAGGCAGCAGUGGGGAAUAUUGGACAAUGGGCGCAAGCCUGAUCCAGCCAUGCCGCGUGAGUGAAGAAGGCCUUAGGGUUGUAAAACUCUUUCGGCAGGGAAGAUAAUGACGGUACCUGCAGAAGAAGCUCCGGCUAACUCCGUGCCAGCAGCCGCGGUAAUACGGAGGGGGCAAGCGUUGCUCGGAAUUACUGGGCGUAAAGCGAGCGUAGGCGGUUAAUCAAGUUGGUGGUGAAAGCCCAGAGCUUAACUCUGGAACUGCCAUCAAAACUGAUUGACUAGAGAUUGGUAGAGGAAAAUGGAAUUCCUAGUGUAGAGGUGAAAUUCGUAGAUAUUGGGAAGAACACCAGUGGCGAAGGCGAUUUUCUGGGCCAAUUCUGACGCUGAGGUUCGAAAGCGUGGGUAGCAAACAGGAUUAGAUACCCUGGUAGUCCACGCCGUAAACGAUGAGUGCUAGACGCCGGGAACUAGUUUUCGGUGUCGUAGUUAACGCAUUAAGCACUCCGCCUGGGGAGUACGGUCGCAAGGGUGAAACUCAAAGGAAUUGACG